UCACUUUUCUCCUUGUGCACAGUUUUCUGAAAGGGGACAGCACUCUCUACUUCUAAUGUAGUGAUCCAGAGAUGUUGAAAGGCAAAGAGACCCUUCACAGAAGCCCAUUCAGACACAACCAUACCUAGGACUAUGUAACACAGAACGAGAGGAACAAAGACUUGUGAACAUCUUGAAGCUGAAGACAAUGCCGCAGGUCCUUGGUUCCAUCCCUCACCCUCUGCCACUGACAGUUACAUCAAAGUGCUCCAUUCCUGACCUUCCAAUGCACAGGUACCUAUGAAAGGGCUGAUUCAUGUAUGCCACUGGAUGGAAUUAUGGAGAACUUCAAACAUUUGUGAAAGAAAGUCUUACAACACCCCUCCCCCC
Molecule: long non-coding RNA, 369 nt
Filed under: Mus spicilegus (steppe mouse)
Lineage: Eukaryota; Metazoa; Chordata; Mammalia; Rodentia; Muridae
Description: lncRNA (ENSMSIG00000013511.1)
Source: RNAcentral